This 318-nucleotide transfer-messenger RNA is filed under the name Cyanobacteria bacterium QS_3_48_167. It matches the Rfam family "transfer-messenger RNA". From Rfam's summary of the family: Bacterial tmRNA, also known as 10Sa RNA or SsrA, is named for its dual tRNA and mRNA-like properties. Its role is to liberate the mRNA from a stalled ribosome. To accomplish this part of the tmRNA is used as a reading frame that ends in a translation stop signal. Lineage: Bacteria; Bacillati; Cyanobacteriota. RNAcentral also lists the same sequence under 1 other name. The record is from RNAcentral.
GGGGCCGUCCCGGAUUCGACAGGUUGGUGAAAGCCGACCCGUGAUGCAGGUCGAGAGUGAGUCUACUCUCGUAAAUUCAGGCUCAACUUCAAAAGUAACUGCGAACAACAUCGUUCCAUUUGCUCGUAAAGCAGCACCUGUUGCUGCCUAAAAGCCUCUAGUUAGGCACGAGCGUUCAUAGUCUGACUCCGUUAAGGGCUAUGGACAAAACCCCAACGGAUGCGCACUUUAAUUGCCUCUGGUCGAUUGAGUGCCUGUGAAAGAACGGUAGGGAAAUAUCCAGCCUGGACAGCAGUUCAACUCUGCUCGGCUCCAUUU